UGGGGAAUCUUGCGCAAUGGGCGAAAGCCUGACGCAGCAACGCCGCGUGAGCGAAGAAGGCCUUCGGGUUGUAAAGCUCUGUCAGGGGGAAAGAAGGCACCUGGGUUAAUAGCCCAAGGGCUGACGGUACCCCCAAAGGAAGCCACGGCUAACUACGUGCCAGCAGCCGCGGUAAUACGUAGGUGGCAAGCGUUGUCCGGAAUCAUUGGGCGUAAAGAGCGCGUAGGUGGCUUGUCAGGUCCGAUGUGAAAACCUGGGGCUCAACUCCAGGCGUGCAUUGGAAACCGGCUUGCUAGAGUCUGGGAGAGGAGAGUGGAAUUCCUGGUGUAGCGGUGAAAUGCGUAGAUAUCAGGAGGAACACCGGUAGCGAAGGCGGCUCUCUGGAACAGUACUGACACUGAGGCGCGAAAGCUAGGGGAGCGAACAG
RNAcentral lists this ribosomal RNA (427 nucleotides) under uncultured bacterium. Its description in RNAcentral is "bacterial SSU rRNA". It matches the Rfam family "Bacterial small subunit ribosomal RNA", at positions 355 to 775 of the family's 1533-position model. The record is from RNAcentral.